Molecule: RNase P RNA, 405 nt
Filed under: Chenggangzhangella methanolivorans
Lineage: Bacteria; Pseudomonadati; Pseudomonadota; Alphaproteobacteria; Hyphomicrobiales; Methylopilaceae
Description: Bacterial RNase P class A
Rfam family: Bacterial RNase P class A
About the family: Ribonuclease P (RNase P) is a ubiquitous endoribonuclease, found in archaea, bacteria and eukarya as well as chloroplasts and mitochondria. Its best characterised activity is the generation of mature 5'-ends of tRNAs by cleaving the 5'-leader elements of precursor-tRNAs.
Source: Rfam by way of RNAcentral
CCAGUCGGCCGGACGGCCGCUUCGCUCCUUCAUCGGAGCGGAGAGGAAAGUCCGGGCUCCACGGAAACACGGCGCCGGAUAACGUCCGGCGGGGGCGACCCCAGGGAAAGUGCCACAGAGAGCAAACCGCCUCCGGCUAUGGCCGGCGGUAAGGGUGAAAGGGUGCGGUAAGAGCGCACCGCGCGACCGGUAACGGGAGCGGCACGGCAAACCCCGCCGGGAGCAAGACCGAAUAGGGGCGACGCGCAGGCGGCGAAAGCCGUCGGCAGGCCUGCUUCCGGGCCGUCGCCCGGGUUGGUUGCUUGAGGCGUCCGGCGACGGACGUCCCAGAGGAAUGGUCGUCACGCGCGCGCCGGUCCGCCGACGCGCGCCAUACAGAACCCGGCUUACAGGCCGGCUGGCCCC